AAAAAUGUUUCCCUAUAAUAAUAGGGGGUUUAUAAAAUUUUUCCAAAUUAAUUAUACAAUAAGUGUCAAAUACGAAACAAUAAUAGUAACAAGAGAAUACUAAUCAAUUAAAGAGGAGAAUUCACAAUUACGAAGUUAUUAUUCGAGGCUCGAAAUUAGAUGCUUUGAGCCAACAAAUCUGAUCUCCACCGUUCAAAUACAAGACAAAGAUAUUACAAACCCUCAGUCAAAAUUUUAGCCCUAUCCAACUGUUAACUGAUCGAAAAAUGUGAUUUGAAGUUAAUGGGUCGGAAUAACAAUCUACAGCAAAACAAAUACUUUUCUUCUCUCUUCUCUCUUGACCAAAACUUCCUCAAAAAUCACUCUUAUGUGCUUAAGUCUUUCAAAGACUUGUAUCAAUGAACAUAGAAUAAUUCUUCAAUGUUGUCCUAUUUAUAUAUCAUGAGUGGUGCUUUCUCUUAAAGUCAAAAUCCACUCAAAAUAGGAAUAAACCGAAUUGAAUUCUAAAUAGAAAUGGAAACCAAAAGAGAAUAAAAUUAGGUCAUUGGGCUUUGACCGGACAAUAUAGGCAUGUGCUCAACAAUAGUUUGUUUAAACAACCUGGAAAAAUCAGUUUGUUUUAAGAAGUAUUUUUUUCAAAAGUAUUUUUGAUGAGUAACAAUGUGUGUUUGGCUAAUUAAUUUAAAAAAUAUAUACAAACAACAAUUAGUGUUUGGCCAAGUUUAAAAAGUGCUUCUAAAUGUAUUUUUCUCAAAAGUGUAUCGCAAAAAAAUACUUAUGGGAAGAAGUUCUUUUUUUUCUGGUUCUAUUCAAGAACACUUUUCUAUUAAAUAACUUGGACAAACACUUUAAUUUAAAAAAAAAUAUUGUUUUUGACCAAACAAACAAUUAGUUAUGAUAUGCUAUCGCAAGUACAAAAAUUUUAUUAAAAGGUAUGAGAGCAAAAUAAAAAAACUAUAACACGAAAGGAUUGGCAAAGAAAAAGGGAAAGCGAUAGGCACUUGGUGUUGAAUGUUGAUAGGUUAAUUAAAUAAAAACAAUUCCAGUUUCAGAAUUGAUUAAAUCCCAAAAGGUUUGAACUUGGACCAUACUAAAUAAGGAUCAUGAAAUAACACGAAAGGAUUAGAAAAGAAAAAGGUGCAUAUUGUCACCAAAUUAUUGAGGGAACAUAAUGUAACAGUGAGAAAAAAAAAACAUAAAAAGUGAAAUUCGUUGAGAAUAAAAAAGAGAAAUUAUUUUCUUAGUGGGCUGGUUAUUGGGUAAAAAUCCCCCCCAAAAAAAUGUGGGAUAAAAACUUUGCUUUAAGCAUUGAUCCUUGCAAUUACAGUUGGUGAUUGAGACUUCCAAGACUAAUAUAUUAUGCCAUUAAAAAAGGUGUAAUUUUGUGGCAUUGAAGUCAAAAGACAAAGCAGGUGUGUGUUUACAUAUGAAUUUCAAACAAAAGCAAAUAUAAAGUCAAAAGGGACGAGGAAUUGGUUUUUGUGAAGUUGUGCGUCACAACUACUAAUAAAUCAUCAAGUUGACAAAAAGAAUCUUGGCGUCACAACCUUAGGCAACAGCUGCACGUUUGAACAAAGAAAAACAAAAUUAAGUGUAUCAUUAGCAAUUCUAUUAAGGGAAAAAAAAUAUGCUCAGGAUGUAGUUCAUAUCAAAUCGAGCUAAUUUAUUAUAAUUAAGUGAUAAGUCAUAACGUGUAUUAUGUGUAUAUAAAGGCAGCUCUCCAGAUAAAACAUCACACAUUCACAUACAGUUUGAAAAAGAGCCUAAACCCAAAAACUGUGAUCGAUCAAAUGUAUAUCCAAGAUUUUAAGAGAGUAAAUACAUUAUUGUUAGGAAAUGAAUCUAAAACUUAUAUUUGACAGAUUUAACUUAGAGACUUAACCCAUUGUACACUUAAAAUUAUAGAUUCAAAAUUAUAUUCUUUUUAAAAUUUUAGUAGUUUAUAUAUAUAUAUAUAUAUGUGUGUGUGUGUUUUUCUUUUUUGCAAUUUUGUUUUGGUUUUUGGUUCUUUUUUUCUAUGUUUCUUUUCGUUUAGGUUUUGUCCUAAGAAAAAGACUAUUUAUACCUUAGGUUGAAUUUGCGUAAAUUAUGCAACAAAUUGCUACAUAUGGAAAACUUGCACUCACCCCUCGAAGACGACGACUUCUUGCUGUGUGGAACACUUGUGAAUUACCAAUAUGGGGAAGAGCUUCAAUAUGUAUCUUUUUCUU
This 2210-nucleotide long non-coding RNA is filed under the name Nicotiana benthamiana. Its description in RNAcentral is "long non-coding RNA (NBEN_LNC037562)". The record is from RNAcentral. Lineage: Eukaryota; Viridiplantae; Streptophyta; Magnoliopsida; Solanales; Solanaceae.